This 327-nucleotide long non-coding RNA is filed under the name Elaeis guineensis (African oil palm). RNAcentral describes it as "long non-coding RNA (EGUI_LNC003583)". Lineage: Eukaryota; Viridiplantae; Streptophyta; Magnoliopsida; Arecales; Arecaceae. The record is from RNAcentral.
UUCACACUUAUCACCUAUUGAUGAGGUUCCCAAUGACCAGCAACAUAGGAAAAGUCCAAGAUGAUCAAGUGUUUAUCCGACAAUGCUCCAUCACUACCCUUAAAGGCAAAAAAAUUAGUGGAGAUGCAGCCUAUCAGCAGUUUUGAUGCUGGAGAUAAACAAAAGCAAUAGUGUAGAAAACCGACCAAAUAGCUUCUCUCGAUGCCCUUGCAUAAGUUGAACCCAAGCAGAAUGUUGCCGAUUAGAGCUCAACAGGAUGAGACUUCCCAAGCUAGACUCAAAUACUUAAUACGAGUGAAUAUUGAUGUCACCCAGAAGUAGCAACUC